UACGUAGGCGGAAAAUUAAGUCAGUGGUGAAAUCCUGCAGCUUAACUGUAGAACUGUCAUUGAUACUGGUUUUCUUGAAUACAGUUGAGGUAGGCGGAAUGUGUAAUGUAGCAGUGAAAUGCUUAGAUAUUACACAGAACACCGAUUGCGAAGGCAGCUUACUAAACUGUUAUUGACGCUGAGGUACGAAAGCGUGGGGAGCGAACAGGAUUAGAUACCCUGGUAGUCC
Molecule: ribosomal RNA, 229 nt
Filed under: uncultured bacterium
Lineage: Bacteria
Description: partial 16S ribosomal RNA
Rfam family: Bacterial small subunit ribosomal RNA
Source: RNAcentral